CCCUUCACUACUAUUAAGUAACUCCAUAAAAAUAUGGAGGCUAUUAUGUUAAAACUAGUAAUAAGAAGANUGGCCUUCUCUUUGAUGUAGGUGUAGGUCAGAAAGGACAAACCACUGACAAUUAAACGUUAAUGAGCACAAAACAGUAANCACUUCUAGAAAACCCUGUUUUUCNNNNCAAACGUUAAUCUAACACAAGAACAUUUCAAGAAAGAUUUAAAGAAAAAGAAGGAACUCGGCAAACAUUAACCUCGCCUGUUUACCAAAAACAUCGCCUCUUGNCCUAAAUAUAAGAGGUCUAGCCUGCCCAGUGACUUAGUUCAACGGCCGCGGUAUCCUAACCGUGCGAAGGUAGCGUAAUCACUUGUUCUUUAAAUGAGGACUAGUAUGAAUGGCAUCACGAGGGUUAUGCUGUCUCCUUUUUCUAAUCAAUGAAACUGAUCUCCCCGUGAAGAAGCGGGCAUAAUAAUAUAAGACGAGAAGACCCUAUGGAGCUUUAAACGAUUAUAGCACUGGCCCACUCANNNNNUUCCAUGUUUCANNNNNGAACUACAACAUUCACUAUGGCCUUAAUGACUAUUAGUUUUAGGUUGGGGUGACCGCGGAGCAAAAAUUAACCUCCACAUUGAAAAGAACNUNUUCUUGAGCCCAAAGCCACAACUUCAAGCACCAACAAACUGACAUACAUUGACCCAAGAAAUUGAGCAACGAACCAAGUUACCCUAGGGAUAACAGCGCAAUCCACUUCAAGAGCCCCUAUCGACAAGUGGGUUUACGACCUCNGAUGUUGGAUCAGGGUAUCCCAGUGGCGCAGCCGCUACUAAAGGUUCGUUUGUUCAACGAUUAAAACCCUACGUGAUCUGAGUUCAGACCGGAGUAAUCCAGGUCAGUUUCUAUCUAUAANAGGACUUUUUCUAGUACGAAAGGACCGNAAAAAGCAUGGCCAAUGCCCAANGUAUGCCAUNAUGUAUAACUUAUGAUAAUAUCUUAAUAAAAACACAUCCUACCAUNNAAACCCCAAAAAAAGGGGA
RNAcentral lists this ribosomal RNA (1031 nucleotides) under Dendropsophus parviceps (Sarayacu treefrog). Its description in RNAcentral is "partial 16S ribosomal RNA". It matches the Rfam family "Bacterial large subunit ribosomal RNA", at positions 1437 to 2829 of the family's 2925-position model. Lineage: Eukaryota; Metazoa; Chordata; Amphibia; Anura; Hylidae. The record is from RNAcentral.